RNAcentral lists this non-coding RNA (25 nucleotides) under Mus musculus (house mouse). Lineage: Eukaryota; Metazoa; Chordata; Mammalia; Rodentia; Muridae. The record is from RNAcentral.
UACCUCAAAACUGAAGGCUAGAGAC